Long non-coding RNA from Hypanus sabinus (Atlantic stingray), 1459 nucleotides. RefSeq lists it as uncharacterized. NCBI's taxonomy places the organism in Eukaryota, Metazoa, Chordata, Chondrichthyes, Myliobatiformes, Dasyatidae. The record is from RefSeq and is a predicted model, not a curated record. The transcript is spliced from 5 exons.
CUGGUUGUGGCCAGAGUUCACUUUGUACUGGUCACAGUGUAGCAUGUUUUAGUAUCUGGCAGAACCAAGAUAGAUUUAUCCAAGGGAACCGAUGGUUGAGAUUUUUUGAACAAGCAGAAUCGGAGGAUCCACUGAAUGUUGUUCUCCAGAUCUGACAACAUCCUUGGAAGUUGGUAGAUAGAACAUAAAGUGAAAAAACGUCUUGUAGGAAAAUACCAGUUUGGAGGAACGGGAAGGACGGGGCUCACAUGUGCAGGAUCAGCACAAGAAAAGUUUUCUUUCUACGCACUAAAAACAUCAGUGAAGCAACGCCUUUUCACCAGACGUUAAUGUGGAAGAGUGAACAGUAAACGGUUAAUCUUACUGCGAUCCUGUUUUCAUUGACUACGGUUUAUCUCGGUGUUUAGUUCAGAGUUCUCUUACACCUGAGCGAGAACACUACAAUUAUGCAUUCCAUUGAACUGCUGCUGCUAAGUUACAUGCCGGUGAUAAUAAACCCGGUUCUGACUCCAGGCUGGGAAGCCUCUGGAAGGGCCGGGAGAGGUGCUCGAUUGCAUCUCUGAUGUGGUCUUCCAGGUGCAGGCGCCUGAGCCGUGGAAGGCUGUCAUGCUGCACUGGGACUGGCUGGCACCAUGUUGGCCCUUGGCCACCAGUAACCCAGCAAGCCUGAAGGAAGGAGGUGACACCCUGGGCACCCUACCUCUUGCCUCACCCAGGCAGGGUCUCUUCUGGAGGAGGUGACAGAACCCCCCCCCCCCAGUGCCCCAGAUGGCAACAUGGACCCCACCAGGUCUUUUGGACUUUGUUACGGACUCUGGGGCUGCUGCGAACAGCUGACCCUCAGGUGGGGACAGGGUGAUGUUCCGGGGGGAGUGGUCAAAGCCUGCCCCUGCAUUUCUAAUGAUCAGCACAGUUUAUUAUUCUUACAUUAAAAUGCUUUUGUGGGAUUAUGGCGGGGAGCUCCAGUUCAUUUAUUGUUCCAUUUUAGCUUGGGUUAUGCAGCUGUUCAUUUGUGUAUUUGUGGGUCACCCUGACUGUAACCGGGGUGUGUGAUGGUCACCUGCCCCGUCUGCACGAGACUGAUUGGGUCAUGGUGCCCGGUCUGUUUUGUGUUUAUCGUAAUAAAAGGGUCGCUGAGCUAACGAGCUUCCUCGUCCGUCAUUAUGGACCAAAGGCUCACCACCAGUAUUGAGGAAGGCAAAAGGUAAAGAAGGGAUUAAACAGGGAGCACCUUCAACAACCCCGAGGAAGCUUUCAUUUUGUCCCAUCCCCUUAUUACCUUUGACAGCUCCUUAGACAUUAUUUUCCUCUCUGAGAGAUUCGUGUUUCCAAAGACAGGAGAACUGCAGUAGCUUUCGAAGCUUUGUUCAGUUGCCUCUGCUCACUACCUGUCUGCGGCAUGCCAAACUCCUCGGGAAAUGCAACCUGAUCUUUGAUUUCUCUCUCAGCGUUUUUUUGU